This is a long non-coding RNA of Papaver somniferum (opium poppy), 1240 nucleotides long. RefSeq lists it as uncharacterized. Lineage: Eukaryota; Viridiplantae; Streptophyta; Magnoliopsida; Ranunculales; Papaveraceae. The transcript is spliced from 2 exons. The record is from RefSeq and is a predicted model, not a curated record.
UGUUUAGUGAUUGAAGGAGUUAGGAUUCUGGAGAUGAAGUUAUGGAGAAAUUGAUUGAUUAAAAGAAGAUUUGAGUAGUUGGUGAUGAAUAACAAAGGGGUUGGUGUUUUAUUGAAGUUGUGAAGAUGAUUCAGUGAUGAAUUGAAAGUUAGGGUUUCAUGAGAAGAAACUCUGAGAAGAUUAGAAGAUGAAAUUGAUACUCUAGAGGGUUAAUUAGAGAGGGGUGCGACUUGAAUUAGAGAUUAUGGUUGAUGUUGAACAGAAUAUGGAGUUGUUUUGUUAAGAACAUAUGAAUUAGGGUUUUAUCAGAAGGUUUUUUAGGAAUUCGAUUGGUGAUGAACAAGAUGGAAUUAGAGAUGGGUUUGUUAAAUUAAAGAAUUAGGAUGUUGUUUUGUGUUCGAAUCAGAGAAGCUUUGGAUUCGACGAUUUAUUUUAGGGUUUCUGGGAAGCAGUGAAGAGGAUGAAGAUUGAUGAGUACUGGUGGAGUGGAAGGGUUAUACUGAUAAUGGAUUUGAAGGGUUUUGCUGAAUCAAGUUGAAGUGAAGAAGAAAUUGAAUUCUUGUUGCUUUAUUAAUACUGAUUUGAGGUAAUUGUUCUUUUCAAUAAAGAUACUAGUUCAAUUCCAAUAUUGAGAUUUUAAGUUAUGAAUGUUAAUGAGUAUGUGAUAAAACUGAAGUUUAUUGAUUGUGUUGAUGGAUUGAGAUGGAAAUAUAUGUGAUGGUUCAAUAUAAUGAAUGAGACUAAAGUUGCAGUUGUAGGUUAGGUUUGUGUGUUAAAUUGCAGUUGACUUAUAAACAUACUGAUGUUGGUAGUUGGGUUGUUGAAUGAAUGAAGGUGGAAAUGAAGUAGAAUGCUAAGCUUCGGUUUGCAGGUAUAUGCAAUUACAGGGUAGUUGGGGUUCUGGUGGUAUUGAGUGUUGCAGUUGUGUUAGAAAUGAAGUUUGAUUGUGACUCUCAAAUGAGGUCUGGUGGUGAUCCAGGCCUGAGAUGUGUAGUUAGUAAUGAUGGUUAUAGAGAAUGGAUAAUAGCUCCAGUGGAAGCUUGCAACUGCAAUUGCAGUUUCAGAGACAAAUCAGAGUUGCGCAGCGAAAGCGUCGAGGAGUUGAGUCCAUAGUUAGUUAACUUCGGAUAUGUUGUUAUGUUGCAUAUUAUAUUUGUAAACCAAAUGACUAUUGUACAUGUAUCAUUUGAGAGAAGUUCUUGUAUAUAUAUAUUACUUAGCGGGGCUAGUUUUGGGUUAA